Molecule: ribosomal RNA, 202 nt
Filed under: Mycetophylax morschi
Lineage: Eukaryota; Metazoa; Arthropoda; Insecta; Hymenoptera; Formicidae
Description: partial large subunit ribosomal RNA
Source: RNAcentral
GAAUUUUAUAUAAAUUUUUUUAAAAAAAUAAUUAAAAAAAAUUUAUAUUUGGUUGGGAGGAUUGUUAAAUUAUUUAAACUUUAAUUAUUAUAAAAUAUUAAUUAUUAAAUUAUAGAAUUAUAAUAAAAUAAUAUAAGAAAUAAUUACCUUAGGGAUAACAGCGUAAUAUUUUUAGAAAGAUCAUAUUAAUAAAAAUGAUUGC